Scophthalmus maximus (turbot) is the source of this 111-nucleotide ribosomal RNA. Lineage: Eukaryota; Metazoa; Chordata; Actinopteri; Pleuronectiformes; Scophthalmidae. The record is from Ensembl.
GCUUACGGCCACACCGCCUGGUUCACGCCUUUGAUCUCGGAAGCUAAGAUAGGUUGGGCCUGAUUAGUACUUGGAUGGGAGACCGCCUGGGAAUAACAGGUGCUGUAAGCU